Long non-coding RNA from Nematolebias whitei (Rio pearlfish), 264 nucleotides. RefSeq lists it as uncharacterized. The transcript is spliced from 3 exons. Lineage: Eukaryota; Metazoa; Chordata; Actinopteri; Cyprinodontiformes; Rivulidae. The record is from RefSeq and is a predicted model, not a curated record.
CCCCAUGUAAACAAAGCCUUCAAAUAGGUUUUUGUUACAGCUGUACUGCAUAGGUGGAAUUUGGGAUCCGUUUGCUUGUCAGUGGGGUAACUGACCAUGUCUCAGAGUCCAGGGUGAUCCCUUUCUUCUCUGCGCUGGAUGUUGUCCCUUCCCUCACUACAGUACUUACCCCAUUGGUCAUCAUAAAGCUCCCACACACAUGGAGCUCUACGGCAGUAUGCAGUGUAAUGUCCCAUAACAUCUUUGGUCAAGCUUCCCUUGAAA